GGGUUUCUAGCUCAAUUGGUAGAGCAGCGGUCUCCAAAGCCGCCGGUUGCAGGUUCGACCCCUGCGGAGCCCGC
RNAcentral lists this transfer RNA (74 nucleotides) under Mycobacterium phage LeMond. RNAcentral describes it as "tRNA-Trp". It matches the Rfam family "tRNA". Rfam says of the family: Transfer RNA (tRNA) molecules are approximately 80 nucleotides in length. Their secondary structure includes four short double-helical elements and three loops (D, anti-codon, and T loops). Further hydrogen bonds mediate the characteristic L-shaped molecular structure. tRNAs have two regions of fundamental functional importance: the anti-codon, which is responsible for specific mRNA codon recognition, and the 3' end, to which the tRNAs corresponding amino acid is attached (by aminoacyl-tRNA synthetases). tRNAs cope with the degeneracy of the genetic code in two manners: having more than one tRNA (with a specific anti-codon) for a particular amino acid; and 'wobble' base-pairing, i.e. permitting non-standard base-pairing at the 3rd anti-codon position. RNAcentral also lists the same sequence under 3 other names. Lineage: Duplodnaviria; Heunggongvirae; Uroviricota; Caudoviricetes. The record is from RNAcentral.